RNAcentral lists this ribosomal RNA (2105 nucleotides) under Salmonella enterica subsp. enterica. RNAcentral's name for it is "partial 23S ribosomal RNA". It matches the Rfam family "Bacterial large subunit ribosomal RNA", at positions 717 to 2802 of the family's 2925-position model. Lineage: Bacteria; Pseudomonadati; Pseudomonadota; Gammaproteobacteria; Enterobacterales; Enterobacteriaceae. The record is from RNAcentral.
GAAACCCGGUGAUCUAGCCAUGGGCAGGUUGAAGGUUGGGUAACACUAACUGGAGGACCGAACCGACUAAUGUUGAAAAAUUAGCGGAUGACCUGUGGCUGGGGGUGAAAGGCCAAUCAAACCGGGAGAUAGCUGGUUCUCCCCGAAAGCUAUUUAGGUAGCGCCUCGUGAAUUCAUCUCCGGGGGUAGAGCACUGUUUCGGCUAGGGGGCCAUCCCGGCUUACCAACCCGAUGCAAACUGCGAAUACCGGAGAAUGUUAUCACGGGAGACACACGGCGGGUGCUAACGUCCGUCGUGAAGAGGGAAACAACCCAGACCGCCAGCUAAGGUCCCAAAGUCAUGGUUAAGUGGGAAACGAUGUGGGAAGGCCCAGACAGCCAGGAUGUUGGCUUAGAAGCAGCCAUCAUUUAAAGAAAGCGUAAUAGCUCACUGGUCGAGUCGGCCUGCGCGGAAGAUGUAACGGGGCUAAACCAUGCACCGAAGCUGCGGCAGCGACGCUGAUGCGUUGUUGGGUAGGGGAGCGUUCUGUAAGCCUGUGAAGGUGGCCUGUGAGGGUUGCUGGAGGUAUCAGAAGUGCGAAUGCUGACAUAAGUAACGAUAAAGCGGGUGAAAAGCCCGCUCGCCGGAAGACCAAGGGUUCCUGUCCAACGUUAAUCGGGGCAGGGUGAGUCGACCCCUAAGGCGAGGCCGAAAGGCGUAGUCGAUGGGAAACGGGUUAAUAUUCCCGUACUUGGUGUUACUGCGAAGGGGGGACGGAGAAGGCUAUGUUGGCCGGGCGACGGUUGUCCCGGUUUAAGCGUGUAGGUGUGUGUUCCAGGUAAAUCCGGUUCACUUUAACACUGAGGCGUGAUGACGAGGCACUACGGUGCUGAAGCAACAAAUGCCCUGCUUCCAGGAAAAGCCUCUAAGCAUCAGGUAACAUCAAAUCGUACCCCAAACCGACACAGGUGGUCAGGUAGAGAAUACCAAGGCGCUUGAGAGAACUCGGGUGAAGGAACUAGGCAAAAUGGUGCCGUAACUUCGGGAGAAGGCACGCUGACAUGUAGGUGAAGUGAUUUACUCAUGGAGCUGAAGUCAGUCGAAGAUACCAGCUGGCUGCAACUGUUUAUUAAAAACACAGCACUGUGCAAACACGAAAGUGGACGUAUACGGUGUGACGCCUGCCCGGUGCCGGAAGGUUAAUUGAUGGGGUCAGCGCAAGCGAAGCUCCUGAUCGAAGCCCCGGUAAACGGCGGCCGUAACUAUAACGGUCCUAAGGUAGCGAAAUUCCUUGUCGGGUAAGUUCCGACCUGCACGAAUGGCGUAAUGAUGGCCAGGCUGUCUCCACCCGAGACUCAGUGAAAUUGAACUCGCUGUGAAGAUGCAGUGUACCCGCGGCAAGACGGAAAGACCCCGUGAACCUUUACUAUAGCUUGACACUGAACAUUGAGCCUUGAUGUGUAGGAUAGGUGGGAGGCUUUGAAGUGUGGACGCCAGUCUGCAUGGAGCCGACCUUGAAAUACCACCCUUUAAUGUUUGAUGUUCUAACGUGGACCCGUAAUCCGGGUUGCGGACAGUGUCUGGUGGGUAGUUUGACUGGGGCGGUCUCCUCCUAAAGAGUAACGGAGGAGCACGAAGGUUGGCUAAUCCUGGUCGGACAUCAGGAGGUUAGUGCAAUGGCAUAAGCCAGCUUGACUGCGAGCGUGACGGCGCGAGCAGGUGCGAAAGCAGGUCAUAGUGAUCCGGUGGUUCUGAAUGGAAGGGCCAUCGCUCAACGGAUAAAAGGUACUCCGGGGAUAACAGGCUGAUACCGCCCAAGAGUUCAUAUCGACGGCGGUGUUUGGCACCUCGAUGUCGGCUCAUCACAUCCUGGGGCUGAAGUAGGUCCCAAGGGUAUGGCUGUUCGCCAUUUAAAGUGGUACGCGAGCUGGGUUUAGAACGUCGUGAGACAGUUCGGUCCCUAUCUGCCGUGGGCGCUGGAGAACUGAGGGGGGCUGCUCCUAGUACGAGAGGACCGGAGUGGACGCAUCACUGGUGUUCGGGUUGUCAUGCCAAUGGCACUGCCCGGUAGCUAAAUGCGGAAGAGAUAAGUGCUGAAAGCAUCUAAGCACGAAACUUGCCCCGA